This 469-nucleotide ribosomal RNA is filed under the name Feihyla vittatus (striped Asian treefrog). RNAcentral describes it as "Rohanixalus vittatus (striped Asian treefrog) partial 12S ribosomal RNA". It matches the Rfam family "Bacterial small subunit ribosomal RNA", at positions 846 to 1525 of the family's 1533-position model. Lineage: Eukaryota; Metazoa; Chordata; Amphibia; Anura; Rhacophoridae. The record is from RNAcentral.
CCGUAAAACUAAUUACACUGAUAUCGCCAGGGUACUACGAGUUUAACUUGAAACCCAAAGGACUUGACGGUAUUCCACCCAACUAGAGGAGCUUGUCCUAUAAUCGAUUAUCCACGUUAUACCCAACCAUUUUUUGCCUUUUCAGCCUGUAUACCUCCGUCAUAAGCUCACCGUGUGAACGUUCAACAGUAGGCUUAAUGGCUUAUAAAUCACGCCAUCACGCCAGGUCAAGGUGCAGCUUAUAAAAUGGAAGAGAUGAGCUACAAUUUCUACCUUAGAACAAACAAGAUGCUGAAUGAAACACAGCUAAAAGGUGGAUUUAGAAGUAAGUAGGGAAUAGAGAGCCCCACUAAAAUUGGCCCUGGAAUAUGUACAAACCGCCCGUCACCCUCUUCAAUAAAUAUUAACUUUACUUUAGAUGAGGCAAGUCGUAACAUGGUAAGUAUACUGGAAAGUGUACUUAGAACAA